This 468-nucleotide ribosomal RNA is filed under the name uncultured bacterium. RNAcentral's name for it is "partial 16S ribosomal RNA". It matches the Rfam family "Bacterial small subunit ribosomal RNA", at positions 28 to 523 of the family's 1533-position model. The record is from RNAcentral.
GAUGAACGCUGGCGGCGUGCCUAACACAUGCAAGUCGAGCGAUUUACUUCGGUAAAGAGCGGCGGACGGGUGAGUAACGCGUGGGUAACCAGCCCUGUACACACGGAUAACAUACCGAAAGGUAUGCUAAUACGAGAUAAUAUACUUUUAUCGCAUGGUAGAAGUAUCAAAGCUUUUGCGGUACAGGAUGGACCCGCGUCUGAUUAGCUAGUUGGUAAGGUAACGGCUUACCAAGGCGACGAUCAGUAGCCGACCUGAGAGGGUGAUCGGCCACAUUGGAACUGAGACACGGUCCAAACUCCUACGGGAGGCAGCAGUGGGGAAUAUUGCACAAUGGGCGAAAGCCUGAUGCAGCAACGCCGCGUGAGUGAUGAAGGCCUUCGGGUCGUAAAGCUCUGUCCUCAAGGAAGAUAAUGACGGUACUUGAGGAGGAAGCCCCGGCUAACUACGUGCCAGCCGCCGCAGUAA